Molecule: ribosomal RNA, 250 nt
Filed under: uncultured prokaryote
Description: partial 16S ribosomal RNA
Rfam family: Bacterial small subunit ribosomal RNA
Source: RNAcentral
UACGUAGGGAGCAAGCGUUAUCCGGAAUUAUUGGGUGUGAAGGGUGCGUAGAUGGGAGAGCAAGUUGGUUGUGAAAUCCCCAGGCUUAACUUGGGAACUGCAACCAAAACUACUAUUCUUGAGUGCAGUAGAGGAAAGCGGAAUUCCUAGUGUAGCGGUGAAAUGCGUAGAUAUUAGGAGGAACACCAGUGGCGAAGGCGGCUUUCUGGACUGUAACUGACAUUGAGGCACGAAAGUGUGGGGAGCAAAC